UCAAGCUAAUAAGAGCGCAAGGGGAAUGCCUUGGCAUCAGGAGCCGACGAAGGACGUGACAAGCUGCGAUAAGCUACGGUGAGGAGCAAAUAUCCUGUGACCCGUAGAUUUCCGAAUGGGGCAACCCGGCUGGACAAUAUCCAGUCAUCCUGCAUUGAAUCAAAUAGGUGUAGGAAGGGAACCGCCUGAACUGAAACAUCUAAGUAGGGCGAGGAAAAGACAUCAACCGAGAUUCCGCAAGUAGUGGCGAGCGAACGCGGAAGAGGCCAAACCGGAGGAUUUAUUCUCCGGGGUUGCGGACAGCUAUACGGAACAAUAGUUUAGCCGAACGGUCUGGGAAGGCCGGUCACAGAGGGUGAGAACCCCGUAGGCGAAAGACGAAUUGUUUCAGGCUGGAUCCAGAGUACCGCAGGACACGUGAAACCCUGUGGGAAACAGGGGGGACCACCCUCCAAGCCUAAAUACUACCUGAUGACCGAUAGAGGAGCAGUACCGUGAGGGAAAGGUGAAAAGGACCCCGGGAGGGGAGUGAAAGAGAACCUGAAACCUUGUGCUUACAAGCAGUCAGAGCACGUUAAAGUGUGAUGGCGUACUUUUUGUAGAACGGUCCGGCGAGUUAUAGUAACGAGCAAGCUUAAGGUAUUCAGUACCGGAGGCGAAGCGAAAGCGAGUCUGAAUAGGGCGCAUGAAGUUCGUUGCCAUAGACCCGAAACCGGGUGACCUACGCAUGAGCAGGUUGAAGUGGGGGUGAAACCCCAUGGAGGACCGAACCAACCCCCGUUGCAAUGGUGGUGGAUGACUUGUGCGUAGCGGUGAAAUUCCAAUCGAACUCGGAGAUAGCUGGUUCUCCCCGAAAUAGCUUUAGGGCUAGCGUUAGUUUAGAUUACCGGAGGUAAAGCACUGAAUGGUUUAGGGGCUGAUAAAGUUACCGACGCCUAUCAAACUCUGAAUGCCGGAUAAUUGAUGACUAGCAGUCAGACAGUGUGAGAUAAGUUUCAUUGUCAAAAGGGAAACAGCCCAGACCUACAGCUAAGGUCCCAAAUGUAUGCUAAGUGGAAAACGAUGUGGAAUUGCGAAAACAACCAGGAUGUUGGCUUAGAAGCAGCCACACAUUAAAAGAGUGCGUAAUAGCUCACUGGUCGAGUGACUCUGCGCGGAAAAUGUAACGGGGCUAAGCAUGCAACCGAAGCUUAGGAUUGUCUAAAGACAGUGGUAGGGGAGCGUUCUGUAUGGGGUGAAGUCGCAGCGAGAGCAGCGGUGGACUGUACAGAAGUGAGAAUGCCGGAAUGAGUAGCGAGAAUUAUGUGGGAAUCAUAAUGGCCGAAAAUCUAAGGUUUCUUGGGGAAGGUUCGUCCGCCCAAGGUAAGUCGGGAGCUAAGCUCAGGCCGCGAGGCGUAGGCGAUGCACAUACGGUAGAAAUUCCGUAACCACCGAACUUUAAGCAUGAGGGACACUUUGAGAUAGCGGAACCCGGGCGUUGGUUGACCCGGGCGAAAGGGACCGAAAUAUAGUAGGGAAGUCCGCGAUGCUUGGAGGCGAGAAAAGCUCAUGUGUAUACUAAGGUGCCCGUACCGCAAACCGACACAGGUAGAUGAGGAGAGAAUCCUAAGGCCAACGGGAGAAGGGUUGUUAAGGAACUCGGCAAGAUGACCCCGUAACUUCGGAAGAAGGGGAGCCUCGAAAGAGGCCGCAGUGAAUAGGCCCAAGCAACUGUUUACCAAAAACACAGGUUUAUGCUAAAUCGAAAGAUGACGUAUAUGAGCUGACGCCUGCCCGGUGCCGGAAGGUUAAGAGGAGAUGUCAACCGCAAGGUGAAGCAUUGAAUUGAAGCCCCGGUAAACGGCGGCCGUAACUAUAACGGUCCUAAGGUAGCGAAAUUCCUUGUCAGGUAAG
This 1893-nucleotide ribosomal RNA is filed under the name human gut metagenome. RNAcentral describes it as "bacterial LSU rRNA". It matches the Rfam family "Bacterial large subunit ribosomal RNA", at positions 3 to 1980 of the family's 2925-position model. The record is from RNAcentral.